GAUGAACGCUGGCGGCGUGCUUAACACAUGCAAGUCGAGCGAGAAGUUUUGAAAAGAUUCUUCGGAUGAAAUUUAAAAUGGAAAGCGGCGGACGGGUGAGUAACGCGUAGGCAACCUGCCCCAUACAAAGGGAUAGCAUUUGGAAACGAAUAUUAAUACCUUAUGAAACUUAACUAGUGCAUGCUAGGUAGGUCAAAGAUUUAUCGGUAUGGGAUGGGCCUGCGUCUGAUUAGCUAGUUGGUGAGGUAACGGCUCACCAAGGCGACGAUCAGUAGCCGACCUGAGAGGGGGAACGGCCACAUUGGAACUGAGACACGGUCCAAACUCCUACGGGAGGCAGCAGUGGGGAAUAUUGCACAAUGGGGGAAACCCUGAUGCAGCAACGCCGCGUGAACGAUGAAGGCCUUUGGGUCGUAAAGUUCUGUUCUAGGUGAUGAAAACUGACAGUAACCUAGGAGAAAGCCCCGGCUAACUCCGUG
Molecule: ribosomal RNA, 479 nt
Filed under: uncultured bacterium
Lineage: Bacteria
Description: partial 16S ribosomal RNA
Rfam family: Bacterial small subunit ribosomal RNA
Source: RNAcentral